ACCCGCUGAAUUUAAGCAUAUAAGUAAGUGGUGGAAAUUAAACCAAAUGGGAUUCCUUAAGUAAUUGCGAAUGAACAAGGACAUGCUUAGCUUGACAAUUGGAGCCUCUGGCUUCGACUUGUAUUUUUGAAAUGUAUUACCAACAGAGGUGCAGGUGUCAGCCUAUUGAAAGAAAGCGUCAAUGAGGGUGAGAAUCCUGUUUGUCAUGUGCAAUCCUCUGUGCACGGUGUAUGUUUGCUGAGUCACACUCCUUGGCAUUGGAAUGCAAAGUGGGUGGUAAGUUUCAUGUAAAGGUAAAUAUAGGAUUGAGACUGAUAGCACACAAGUACCAUGAGGGAAAUAUGAAAAGGACUUUGAAAAGAGAAUUAAAUGAGUUUGUAUUUGCUGAACAGAAAAUAAACAGAUUUGAUGUUGCUUGGUGAGAUUGUGGUGCUUGCUUGACAAUAGGUUUUGAUUGUGGGUGUGAUGAUUCUUGCUUUGCUUGCCAGUUUCUAUUUGUACAUUUGAUUACCCUUGCACAUGAAUGGUAAUUUUCCUGCGGGGUUUGGAUUGCAUGUGUUUGUGAUGAUUUGUGUUUUGAUACAUGUGUCUGGUGCUUUUGUAAUUGCUCAUUUCUUGAAGCUGGGCCUACCCUACUAGAGCUUACAAGCCCUGGCACACAAUUGCUGGCAAAAUGCUUCUGCUUGACCCGUCUUGAAACACGGACCAAGGAGUCUAACAGAUGUGCAAGCUUGAGGGUUGCAUACCUUUGUGCGCAAUGAAAGUGUUGGCUGGGAUAUUUGCACCAGCAGCCGACCAAUUAGCAGACAGAGGUUCGAGUUGGAGCAUAUCUAUUAGGACCCGAAAGAUGGUGAACUAUGCCUGAACAGAAUGAAUUCAGAGGAAACUCUGAUGGAGGUUCGUAUCGAUACUGACGUGCAAAUCGUUCGUCAUAUUUGGGUAUAGGGGCGAAAGACUAAUCGAACCAUCUAGUAGCUGGUUCCCUCCGA
This 989-nucleotide ribosomal RNA is filed under the name Alexandrium affine. RNAcentral's name for it is "LSU rRNA". It matches the Rfam family "Eukaryotic large subunit ribosomal RNA", at positions 23 to 964 of the family's 3401-position model. Lineage: Eukaryota; Dinophyceae; Gonyaulacales; Pyrocystaceae. The record is from RNAcentral.